This 404-nucleotide unclassified non-coding RNA is filed under the name soil metagenome. RNAcentral's name for it is "partial contains 5.8S ribosomal RNA, internal transcribed spacer 2, and large subunit ribosomal RNA". The stretch from base 1 to 122 matches the Rfam family "5.8S ribosomal RNA", at positions 35 to 154 of the family's 154-position model. The record is from RNAcentral.
GAUGAAGAACGUAGCAAAAUGCGAUACUUGGUGUGAAUUGCAGAAUCCCGUGAACCAUCGAGUUUUUGAACGCAAGUUGCGCCCGAAGCCUUUUGGCCGAGGGCACGUCUGCCUGGGCGUCACGCAUCGCGUCGCCCCCCACAAUUCUCCGUAAAAGGAACAUGUGUUUUGGGGGCGGAUAUUGGUCUCCCGUGCUCAUGGUGUGGUUGGCCGAAAUAGGAGUCCUUUCGAUGGACGCACGAACUAGUGGUGGUCGUAAAAACCCUCGUCUUUUGUUUCGUGCUGUUGCUCGCAAGGUAAACUCUUUAAAAACCCCAAUGUGUCGUCUCUUGACGACGCUUCGACCGCGACCCCAGGUCAGGCGGGACUACCCGCUGAGUUUAAGCAUAUCAAUAAGCGGAGGA